GCUCUCGGGAUUGACCAUUGAUACUCGGCCAUGGCUGCCAGCGACCGCUGUACUCGGUCAAAUCAACGCCCUCUCCACCAUGGCCCAGCCCUCCACCCGGCUUGUACACCUUUCUCCAUCACCAUCGCUGUAAAAGCUAGGGGACUCUGCACAACACUGCAAAGCUAAUCGCAUGAUGGAUGAUAUGAAGUCCAUAGCAGCAUGUCCUUCGAUUCUUUGCAAAUUGGCAUCAACGAGUUCAAUUACUGAAAGAGGUAACAAAUCCUCUACCCAACGCUUGAAGCUCAUUUCUCCAGCAAACAUGUCAUCUGUCGGCUUCUUUCUUGUGAAAGUUUCCAUCAGUAAAAUACCGUAACUAUACACAUCACUUCUUGUAGAAACAAUUCCUUCCAAUCCAUACUCUACGUGUGCAUUACAAUUUGUUAUAAGAAUAUGCGUUUAUAUUCGACAAUAGUGAAAAAGAACAACCAAAGAAAAAAAUUGUUAAGAUCAA
Alnus glutinosa is the source of this 493-nucleotide long non-coding RNA. RefSeq lists it as uncharacterized. Lineage: Eukaryota; Viridiplantae; Streptophyta; Magnoliopsida; Fagales; Betulaceae. The transcript is spliced from 2 exons. The record is from RefSeq and is a predicted model, not a curated record.